AAAUCACAGCCAUGAUUCACGGCGAGAUCAGACAGGCGUUGUCUCUCAGGGGACUACAGAGACUCUGAUAUGGAAUUAAAUAUAUGGGAUUAAAUAGCUGUGCUUGUGUUAAAUAAAUGGUAUUGGUGGCCUUGGGUUUGGGAUUUAACAAAUAGUGUAGGUUUGUGUGUGAUUUUUGUGUUUUGCUCUACAAUUACAGUCCACAGGAUACUGACGAGUAUCAAAUCACGACUUUACAAUCAAUAUACUGUAAAUACUAUGGUUACAUUAUGGGAAGGGGCACAGAUGCAUCCUGCUAUUUAGAAUAAGGGGCCAUUUAAUUUCAGUGCAUUCUGGGUUGUGCCAUUCAGUUUCGCUUAGCCACACCCACACUGAGAGCUGGGGAGACAUAUCUCUUUCUAAUUACAUCGAACACGUUGUUUGCAUGUGUCAGAUUGACUAUAUGAUAUACUUCACGUUCUUACUUCUUCUCUGUUCUGCGCUGUUAAUUCACGUUUGAUUCACCUAUGCACAGGUGAGGAGGAAAUGGGAAUCUGAAGAUGAACAGAACUGCGGGAAAUGCAUCAAUACCAAACAGAACUUGUCUGCCAACGCCAAGGCUGCCGCAGGUUGAAUGCCUUAGUACGUGUUCUGGAAUCCCUUGACAGCACCACGCAAUGUGAAGAUGCGGUUGCAAUUCUUUUAAACUGACACCGUGGACUCAGUCAACGUGCAGUAAUCAGCU
Molecule: long non-coding RNA, 724 nt
Organism: Clupea harengus (Atlantic herring)
Lineage: Eukaryota; Metazoa; Chordata; Actinopteri; Clupeiformes; Clupeidae
Source: RefSeq, a predicted model, not a curated record